GAUGAAGAACGCAGCGAAAUGCGAUACGUAAUGUGAAUUGCAAAUUCAGUGAAUCAUCGAGUCUUUGAACGCACAUUGCGCCCGCUAGUAUUCUGGCGGGCAUGCCUGUUCGAGCGUCAUUUCAACCAUCAAGCCCCAGGCUUGCGUUGGGGGCCUGCGGCUGCCGCAGCCCCUGAAAAGCAGUGGCGGGCUCGCUGUCAUUCCGAGCGUAGUAGUUACAUCUCGCUCCGGGCGUGGCGGUGGGCACCUGCCGUGAAACACUCUAUCUAAGGUUGACCUCGGAUCAGGAAGGAAUACCCGCUGAACUUAAGCAUAUCAAUAAGCGGAGGA
RNAcentral lists this unclassified non-coding RNA (330 nucleotides) under soil metagenome. RNAcentral describes it as "partial contains 5.8S ribosomal RNA, internal transcribed spacer 2, and large subunit ribosomal RNA". The stretch from base 1 to 119 matches the Rfam family "5.8S ribosomal RNA", at positions 35 to 154 of the family's 154-position model. The record is from RNAcentral.